This is a non-coding RNA of Triticum aestivum (bread wheat), 135 nucleotides long. The record is from Rfam. Lineage: Eukaryota; Viridiplantae; Streptophyta; Magnoliopsida; Poales; Poaceae.
CAACUACUCCCUCUGUCCCAAAUUUCUUGUCUUAGAUUUGUCUUGAUACGGAUGUAUCUAAUACUAAAAUGUGACUUGAUACAUCCGUAUCUAGACAAAUCUAAGACAAGAAUUUUGGGACGGAGGGAGUACUUU